Molecule: long non-coding RNA, 667 nt
Filed under: Physcomitrium patens
Lineage: Eukaryota; Viridiplantae; Streptophyta; Bryopsida; Funariales; Funariaceae
Description: long non-coding RNA (PPAT_LNC002390)
Source: RNAcentral
AAGAUAUACUUCAACAUUGUUGUAAUAUGUGAAGUCUUGCUUGACAAUACUCUGGGCACCUGAUUGUGGAAGUUAGAAUGGAAAUUGAAACAAUAAAAUUCUAACUCUAAUAGAAUACUAAAUAAACUUUAAUUAGACCAUAAUAAUGCUAAGCAAGCUUUAAUCAAAUUCAAAGAAACUUCAAAGGAAUUAUAAAGAAAUAAUAAGAAAUCUUAAAGAAUUAUUAGAAUGAUUACAAAUAUAUCUCAAAAACAUCUCAAAUCAAUCUUAAUUUAAUCCAAAAUAAAAUCCUAUUGGAAUUCAUUCAAACUUUAGGCCAAAAAUUAACUAUAUCUUAAAUCCUAAAGAAACUCAAAUAAAAUCCUAAACCAUAAAUCAAAUCCUGACCAAAUCCUAAGCAAAUCUUAAAUCCUAAACCAAAUACUAAAUCCUAAAACAAACACUAAAUCCUAAACCAAACACUAAAUCCUAAACCAAAUACUAAACCUUAAACCAAAUCCUAAUCAAAUCCUAACCCUUAAUCAAAUCCUAAUCAAACCCUAAAUCCUAAAUCAAAGCAUAAAUCAAACUCUAAAUCCUAAAUUAAAUCCUAAAUCCUAAAUCAAACCCUAAUUCUAAAUCAAAUUAUAACCGAAUCCUAAAUCCUAAACCAAAUCCUAAUUCUAAA